GGGUCAUGUCCUCAGUAAGCUGUAGUUGCUCUAUAUCAUGUCUAAUCACUUCCCUCCAGUACUUCUUCGACCUACCUCUUCUCCUCCGAAAGACAUCCAGCGCUAGCCUCUCAUACCUACGAACUGGGGCAUCCGUGCCCCUCCUCAUCACAUGCCCAAACCAUCUCAGCCUUCCUUCCCGCAUCUUGUCCUCUGCCCAAGCCACUCCCACCUUC
RNAcentral lists this long non-coding RNA (215 nucleotides) under Capsicum annuum. Its description in RNAcentral is "long non-coding RNA (CANN_LNC020596)". Lineage: Eukaryota; Viridiplantae; Streptophyta; Magnoliopsida; Solanales; Solanaceae. The record is from RNAcentral.